AUAUCACUAUCCCUAGGAGACUGUCUCAAAAUAGAGAUUCCCGAGCCCCACCCCACAUCGACCAGAUCAGAAUUUGCAAGGAUGGGGCUCAGGAAUACUUAUUGUUAAAAAGAAGCCCCAAUGCACAAGCAAGUCUGGGAAACCCUGAAUUCCUAUCUCAACUAAGGAAGCUGCUGUCCAAAGUCACAUAGCUAGCUAAAGGCAGAGUUGGAGUAGAAGCAGGUGCGCUUCCCAGCACAGCACGUGGGCAUGUCGGCAAACUGCCCUGGCCCACUGAGCGGACUAAGAACAGCAGCUCCAAUGGGCAAGGACAUGCAUGCGUGUUUAUAAAGAUGUGUGCAGAGACGGCAUGGUACGGAAGAAUCAAGGGCAAAAAAGUGGAGCACAAGAUUGGAGAGACACCCACGGGGGAAAGAAAGUAAGCUCUACACCCAAUGUGGGGCUUGAACGCACGACUCCGAGAUCAAGAGUUGCAUACUCUAUUGACUGAGCCAGCCAGGUGCUCCUGCUUCUGUUUCACAGUUCAAACGUUUAAUAAAAGAUGAGAAGUAAAAACAAAACUAUGGUGGCAACAUUAUCGGAUGAACUUUUAAAUGUAUCUUUAAAAGAUAACCAGAGGAAAAUCAAUCUGAAACCUUAAAAAGGUAAACAUUAAUGAUUUAUAAAGCUGUUUUAA
This is a long non-coding RNA of Suricata suricatta (meerkat), 676 nucleotides long. RefSeq lists it as uncharacterized. NCBI's taxonomy places the organism in Eukaryota, Metazoa, Chordata, Mammalia, Carnivora, Herpestidae. The transcript is spliced from 3 exons. The record is from RefSeq and is a predicted model, not a curated record.